Molecule: transfer RNA, 87 nt
Filed under: Microcaldota archaeon
Lineage: Archaea; Nanobdellati; Microcaldota
Description: tRNA-Leu
Rfam family: tRNA
About the family: Transfer RNA (tRNA) molecules are approximately 80 nucleotides in length. Their secondary structure includes four short double-helical elements and three loops (D, anti-codon, and T loops).
Source: RNAcentral
GCGGGGGUGGCAGAGCAUGGCCAAAUGCGCAGGAUUGAGGUUCCUGUGUCUUUAGUGACUGCGUGAGUUCAAAUCUCACCCCCCGCA